UGGAGAAGCUGGUCUAAUCCGGCGUCUUCACUUAUAAAGAGCCCGGCCCUUUGGCCGGGCUUUUUAUUUCUGCAUC
RNAcentral lists this small RNA (76 nucleotides) under Pseudomonas sp. 43mfcvi1.1. RNAcentral's name for it is "suhB". Lineage: Bacteria; Pseudomonadati; Pseudomonadota; Gammaproteobacteria; Pseudomonadales; Pseudomonadaceae. The record is from RNAcentral.